GUGGGGAAUUUUGGACAAUGGGCGAAAGCCUGAUCCAGCCAUGCCGCGUGCAGGAUGAAGGCCUUCGGGUUGUAAACUGCUUUUGUACGGAACGAAAAGACUCUGGUUAAUACCUGGGGUCCAUGACGGUACCGUAAGAAUAAGCACCGGCUAACUACGUGCCAGCAGCCGCGGUAAUACGUAGGGUGCAAGCGCUAAUCGGAAUUACUGGGCGUAAAGCGUGCGAAGGCGGUUAUAUAAGACAGAUGUGAAAUCCCCGGGCUCAACCUGGGAACUGCAUUUGUGACUGUAUAGCUAGAGUACGGCAGAGGGGGAUGGAAUUCCGCGUGUAGCAGUGAAAUGCGUAGAUAUGCGGAGGAACACCGAUGGCGAAGGCAAUCCCCUGGGCCUGUACUGACGCUCAUGCACGAAAGCGUGGGGAGCAAACAGGAUUAGAUACCCGAGUAGCC
This 449-nucleotide ribosomal RNA is filed under the name uncultured bacterium. RNAcentral's name for it is "bacterial SSU rRNA". It matches the Rfam family "Bacterial small subunit ribosomal RNA", at positions 354 to 795 of the family's 1533-position model. The record is from RNAcentral.